ACUCACCAUUCUCAACUUUAUCUCCUCUCUCCAUUCCUUGGAAUUAGAUGCAAUUUAUGGGUAGAUGUAUCUAUUACCUCCUCUUGAUAUUCCUGGCUUCUUUGUAAACCAUAACAUGCAUGUUCUUCUGUAUGAGGUCCCCCAUUUACUAUUGUACCACUUCUCUAAAUUGCCUGGAAUUGACUUGGGUUUCCUUGUCUUCACUUUGAGGAGGUUGGCCCAAGUAAUGUCUAAAGUCCCUUCUAGCUCUGAGCAUUCUAUACCUGUGUGCUUCCCAGGCAGAUAACAUAAUAGUGAAGAUAGCCAGCUCCUUUUAUCACAGUAACAAGACAACAGGAACACAUUCUCCAGAUGUACUGGAGACAAAACUUUGAAUAAUCUAAUUGAACUGUACCAAAUACCAGAAGUCAAAUUUUAAACACUUGUAUAAACUCCACAUUCACACCAUUCUUAUCAGAAGGUUGUCAGCAUGGUAUUUUAUAGAUUACAUUAAAGAGAAUGUCAGUUCUCCGGAAAGUACAGGGUUUAUUUGUUUUUAGCCUGUAGAAAUAAAUGAAAACUUUCAGAUCAUUGAAGCUACAAAUGGGAUCAAGAAAUGCAUUUAUUCAACUAAAGCUCACUAGCUAAUACAUUCCAAACUUAUAGCCACACCCAAAUGCAGCUCUAGCCAAGGCAGAUAUUAAAAGGUAUCACACUUUGGCCAAGGCAUUCAGUUAUCUAUAAAACUAUUCUAAGGCCCUGACCCAUUUCCAUUUUCUGAGACAAAGCUUGAGCCCCCGUGACUUUUGUUCUCAUAUGUUAUUUUCACACAAUGCUGGCUGAUACUGCCCUAUACGCCUCUCCCGUGAGGGCCAUUAGCAACUUUAAGUUUCCAUCAGCCAGAAACAUACCUGUCAUAAAAGCAGACUUUCCUGCAUCAUUCAUCCAAAAGGCUGCCAACAUUUGGACCGAGCCAGGGUAGCAUUUUUCAUUUAGUUGAAGCCAUAUUCAACAUUUUCUUGUUUUUCUGUGACUGAAGGUCAAAUCCUAAGGUAGGUGAUUUUAAAAAUAAAACCCUUGUGAAGGGAGCUGUUGAAAGGACACUUUACCAGAGUACUAGAUAAGCUAUGAUGAGAUCUCCUACCUAACCAGACUUAAAACUGGUAUUUGAAAAGAAAGGAUUGUGGACUAUGGAAAGGAAAGUACAUGGUGGCUGUUUCAGAAGUUAGGAGGCUAAGGAACUGGUAAACUUAGAAGACUUUGUAAGGGAGUAAGCUUUGUUUUUUCCAUCUCCAGAAACAUCUCCAUGUUUCUUAUUCUUCAAUUUGCCAUUAUUUGGGAUAAGGACCCAAAAUCUCUACUUUGUAUAUCCUCAUGCUUUAGAGACAUUAUUUCAUAACUAUUAUUAUUAUUAUAUUCUUAUAUAGCUGUUCUCUAAUAGGACAGGAACAGCUUUGGAAUCAGAAGACUUGAGUCUGCAUACCCAUUCUACUGCUUACUAUUUGUGUAGAAGUAGGUUGCCACAGCCAAGAAUUCAUCCCAAAGUGAUAACCUUGCUGGUGAUGAGCCACGUAGAGAUAAGAUAAGCAUCAAAAAAGAAGAAGAAGAACUAUACACAUUGAUGAGCUGCAGCAACCCAAUGGAAUACUGGCAUGGUUGACUAAGGCACCUAUGAAGUUGUUACUGAGGAGGAUUAAAACUAGAUGUCAUUAUUUUACCCACCCCUCACAAUUAUUGUGCCUUUUUUGCCCUCUGCCUCCUUCCAGAUAAAAGUGUCUUUAUGCUACAGAACAUUUUGAAUAACUUUUAUAUUAAGUUGUAUAUGAGCAUGUAGGAGAGGGGGUGAAGGGAGUAGGAGGUUACACCUUUUCUAGAAAAAUAUUCAUCGAGACCUUCUUGAGAGCCUACAUUUAUAAAAGUCAAUACCAGGCUUAACCCAAGGCCGCUGAUAAAAGGCUCGAGUUCCUUUGAAGCAGCCCAGCUUUACAAGGGCCAUCUGCUCUUGAGCACAAUGCUAUAUUGCAUAUUUCCAUCACACUAUCCUAAACACAUUUAAGUUGCUGACAGAUUAAUGCUCAACUCACUAGGGGUAUUCAUUCUUCAGUUCUUACACAUGCUCUUAUAAGGAAAUGGAACUCAGCUAGCACUUACUUAGGAUGCUGGGGAGAAUGUUGUUGCACUCCAGAUGGGGCUCUCACUUGGUCAUGGGGAUACGCUGCAGAGUUACCGUACAGGUUCUUACUAUCCCCAGUGCUGCCAUUGCCUUGGGAUAGAACCAGAACUUCUUCAGUCCUAUCUGCCUUUUUGUGGCCCCACUUAGGAUUUUCUUGGCAAAGAAACUAGAGUGGUUUGUCAUUUCCUUCUCCUGAUCAUAUUACAGUGAGGAAAUUUGAGGGAAAUAUGCUUAAGUGACUUGCUCAAGGUCACACAGCUAAUGAGUCUGAGGCCAGAUGUGAACUCAUAAAGAGGUCUUCAUGAUUCCAAGCCCAGUGCCCUAUCCACUGUGCCAUCUAGAUAUAGAGCACCUGGAAGAAAGUAAGCCAAAAUGCCCAACUGCCAAGGAGGAGAACCUGAAAUACUAAAGUUUCAGAUGGUUAAAAUGCCAAAAAAAAAAAAAAAUUAAAAAUAAAAAAAACUGGUGCAUCAAAUAUUGGUCUACAUCACAUUAAAACCUUUUGAUUAGACCUCCCAGAGAUGGAUAUUAGAUGAUUUAAGCCUGAUGAA
Molecule: long non-coding RNA, 2703 nt
Organism: Sarcophilus harrisii (Tasmanian devil)
Lineage: Eukaryota; Metazoa; Chordata; Mammalia; Dasyuromorphia; Dasyuridae
Exons: 2
Source: RefSeq, a predicted model, not a curated record